RNAcentral lists this ribosomal RNA (484 nucleotides) under uncultured bacterium. Its description in RNAcentral is "partial 16S ribosomal RNA". It matches the Rfam family "Bacterial small subunit ribosomal RNA", at positions 30 to 507 of the family's 1533-position model. The record is from RNAcentral.
AUUGAACGCUGGCGGCAGGCCUAACACAUGCAAGUCGAGCGGAUGAAGGGGGCUUGCUCCUGGAUUCAGCGGCGGACGGGCGCGUUAUGCCUAGGAAUCUGCCUGGUAGUGGGGGAUAACGUCCGGUAACGGGCGCUAAUACCGCAUACGUCCUGAGGGAGAAAGUGGGGGAUCAUUGGAUCACACGCUAUCAGAUGAGCCUAGGUCGGAUUAGCUAGUUGGUGGGGUAAAGGCCUACCAAGGCGACGAUCCGUAACUGGUCUGAGAGGAUGAUCAGUCACACUGGAACUGAGACACGGUCCAGACUCCUACGGGAGGCAGCAGUGGGGAAUAUUGGACAAUGGGCGAAAGCCUGAUCCAGCCAUGCCGCGUGUGUGAAGAAGGUCUUCGGAUUGUAAAGCACUUUAAGUUGGGAGGAAGGGCAGUAAGUUAAUACCUUGCUGUUUUGACGUUACCAACAGAAUAAGCACCGGCUAACUUCGUG